CCUGGCUCAGAACGAACGCUGGCGGCAAGCUUAACACAUGCAAGUCGAACGGACCGUAUACGCAGCUUGCUGCGUGUAUGGUUAGUGGCAGACGGGUGAGUAAUGCAUAGGAAUCUACCUAGUAGUAUGGGAUAGCCACUAGAAAUGGUGGGUAAUACUGUAUAAUCCCUGCGGGGGAAAGAUUUAUCGCUAUUAGAUGAGCCUAUGUCAGAUUAGCUAGUUGGUGGGGUAAUGGCCUACCAAGGCGGUGAUCUGUAGCUGGUCUGAGAGGAUGAUCAGCCACACUGGAACUGAGACACGGUCCAGACUCCUACGGGAGGCAGCAGUGGGGAAUAUUGGACAAUGGGCGCAAGCCUGAUCCAGCUAUGCCGCGUGAGUGAGGAAGGCCUUAGGGUUGUAAAACUCUUUCAGUAGGGAAGAUAAUGACGGUACCUACAGAAGAAGUCC
This 447-nucleotide ribosomal RNA is filed under the name uncultured Anaplasma sp. RNAcentral's name for it is "bacterial SSU rRNA". It matches the Rfam family "Bacterial small subunit ribosomal RNA", at positions 18 to 493 of the family's 1533-position model. Lineage: Bacteria; Pseudomonadati; Pseudomonadota; Alphaproteobacteria; Rickettsiales; Anaplasmataceae. The record is from RNAcentral.